AAAAAAACAAGAACAUUUCAAAGCGAUUCAACAUUUUAUCUGAGAAGUGACUUUGGAAAAUUCGCAUAUCGAAGCGAAAAUAUAAAUCAGAGAUAAGUCGGUUGCUGUUGGAAUAAUUGUCCAGCAUGCCGUUGUAAAUGUUGAGAUCUUUUAUCUGGGCUCUGAAUGUAUUAAUAAAUUCAACUCAAAAUUUUGCAUUUGAAUUGUUAGCGCCUUGCCAAACGAUGAAGAAAAAAAAAUCGAAAGAAAGAAACACUAUUUUAUUGAGAGUAAAGAACUUGAUGAGAAUUUCAACUAUUUAACCUUGAAUCGGUUACAAAUUCUCUAUUUUUUUGCCAAAUUUAUUGAACACUUUACUAUCUCUACGGCGAAAACAUUAUU
Long non-coding RNA from Bradysia coprophila, 381 nucleotides. Lineage: Eukaryota; Metazoa; Arthropoda; Insecta; Diptera; Sciaridae. The record is from RefSeq and is a predicted model, not a curated record.